UUUUUACUCUCUCCGACCCAUAUUACUUGUCUCAAAUUUGUUCAAAUUUGGAUGUAUCUAUGUUUAAAAAGCGUCUAGAUACAUGUAAUAUUUCGACAAGUAAUAUGGGUCGGAGAAAGUACUUG
This is a non-coding RNA of Brachypodium distachyon (stiff brome), 125 nucleotides long. The record is from Rfam. NCBI's taxonomy places the organism in Eukaryota, Viridiplantae, Streptophyta, Magnoliopsida, Poales, Poaceae.